GACGAACGCUGGCGGCGUGCUUAACACAUGCAAGUCGAACGGAAAGGCCUCUUUCGGGGGGUACUCGAGUGGCGAACGGGUGAGUAACACGCGAGUAACCCGUCCUUGACUUUGGGAUAACUCCAGGAAACUGGGGCUAAUACCGGAUAGGAGCUCUUGCUGCACGGUGGGGGUUGGAAAGUUUCGGCGGUUGGGGAUGGACUCGCGGCUUAUCAGCUUGUUGGUGGGGUAGUGGCUUACCAAGGCUUUGACGGGUAGCCGGGCUGAGAGGGGGACCGGCCACAUUGGGACUGAGGUACGGCCCAGACUCCUACGGGGGGCAGCAGUGGGGAAUAUUGCACAAUGGGUGGGAGCCUGAUGCAGCAACGCCGUGUGCGGGAUGACGGCCUUCGGGUUGGAAACCGCUUUCGGUCAUGGCGAAGCUUUGUGUGACGGUAGUGGGUAAAGAAGCACCGGCUAACUACGUG
RNAcentral lists this ribosomal RNA (467 nucleotides) under uncultured bacterium. Its description in RNAcentral is "partial 16S ribosomal RNA". It matches the Rfam family "Bacterial small subunit ribosomal RNA", at positions 28 to 507 of the family's 1533-position model. The record is from RNAcentral.